GGAUUAGAUACCCUGGUAGUCCACGCAGUAAACGAUGAGUACUAGAUUCUGGACGUCCCUCGGGGCGAUUUGAAUCGAAGCUAACGCAUUAAGUACUCCGCCUGGGGAUUACGGUCGCAAGAUUAAAACUCAAAGGAAUUGACGGGGGCCCGCACAAGCGGUGGAGCAUGUGGUUUAAUUCGAUGCAACGCGAAAAACCUUACCUACUCUUGACAUCCUAGGAAUUCUACCGAGAGGUGGAAGUGCCUGAAAGGGAGCCUAGAGACAGGUGCUGCAUGGCUGUCGUCAGCUCGUGUCG
Molecule: ribosomal RNA, 298 nt
Filed under: uncultured bacterium
Lineage: Bacteria
Description: partial 16S ribosomal RNA
Rfam family: Bacterial small subunit ribosomal RNA
Source: RNAcentral